GAGAGAGGCUGGCUAGCAACGAACACUGCUAAUUUUCGCCCCUCUGGUUGAACUCCAGAGCUCACUCG
Molecule: transfer RNA, 68 nt
Filed under: Trichogaster lalius (dwarf gourami)
Lineage: Eukaryota; Metazoa; Chordata; Actinopteri; Anabantiformes; Osphronemidae
Description: tRNA-Ser
Source: RNAcentral